RNAcentral lists this unclassified non-coding RNA (20 nucleotides) under Mus musculus (house mouse). Its description in RNAcentral is "oocyte_clustered_small_RNA11664". The record is from RNAcentral. Lineage: Eukaryota; Metazoa; Chordata; Mammalia; Rodentia; Muridae.
UAAGUGCUGUAGAACCCCAG